AUUCUGGUUGAUCCUGCCAGUAGUUAUAUGCUUGUCUCAAAGAUUAAGCCAUGCAUGUCUAAGUACACACGAAUUAAAAGUGAAACCGCAAAAGGCUCAUUAUAUCAGUUAUGGUUCCUUAGAUCGUUAACAGUUACUUGGAUAACUGUGGUAAUUCUAGAGCUAAUACAUGCAAUUAAAACAUGAACCUUAUGGGACAUGUGCUUUUAUUAGGCUAAAACCAAGCGAUCGCAAGAUCGUUAUAUUGGUUGAACUCUAGAUAACAUGCAGAUCGUAUGGUCUUGUACCGACGACAGAUCUUUCAAAUGUCUGCCCUAUCAACUUUUGAUGGUAGUAUCUAGGACUACCAUGGUUGCAACGGGUAACGGGGAAUCAGGGUUCGAUUCCGGAGAGGGAGCCUGAGAAACGGCUACCACAUCUAAGGAAGGCAGCAGGCGCGUAAAUUACCCACUCCCAGCUCGGGGAGGUAGUGACGAAAAAUAACAAUACAGGACUCAUAUCCGAGGCCCUGUAAUUGGAAUGAGUACACUUUAAAUCCUUUAACAAGGACCAAUUGGAGGGCAAGUCUGGUGCCAGCAGCCGCGGUAAUUCCAGCUCCAAUAGCGUAUAUUAAAGUUGUUGCGGUUAAAACGUUCGUAGUUGAACUUGUGCUUCAUACGGGUAGUACAACUUACAAUUGUGGUUAGUACUAUACCUUUAUGUAUGUAAGCGUAUUACCGGUGGAGUUCUUAUAUGUGAUUAAAUACUUGUAUUUUUUCAUAUGUUCCUCCUAUUUAAAAACCUGCACUAGUGCUCUUAAAGAGGAAUCCACCACAGUGGCG
Molecule: non-coding RNA, 821 nt
Filed under: Drosophila simulans
Lineage: Eukaryota; Metazoa; Arthropoda; Insecta; Diptera; Drosophilidae
Description: Eukaryotic small subunit ribosomal RNA
Rfam family: Eukaryotic small subunit ribosomal RNA
Source: Rfam by way of RNAcentral